RNAcentral lists this transfer RNA (76 nucleotides) under Candidatus Avacidaminococcus intestinavium. Its description in RNAcentral is "tRNA-Thr". It matches the Rfam family "tRNA". From Rfam's summary of the family: Transfer RNA (tRNA) molecules are approximately 80 nucleotides in length. Their secondary structure includes four short double-helical elements and three loops (D, anti-codon, and T loops). Lineage: Bacteria; Bacillati; Bacillota; Negativicutes; Acidaminococcales; Acidaminococcaceae. The record is from RNAcentral.
GCUGCUAUAGCUCAGUCGGUAGAGCAACUGAUUCGUAAUCAGUAGGUCGUAGGUUCAAUUCCUAUUAGCAGCUCCA